CACACACACACACACACACAUUGACUUAUUGUUUGACACAAAGGAUGUGACUACAAUCAGUAGAUCUCAAAUGUCAACACUGCAUUAUUAAAUCGAUUAACUGAAAACAUAACUCAAAUUGGAAUAUGAUUGGAAUCAGAUCCUGAUUCCUAACCUUUGAACUUAUGGCCUAUUUUCCAUAAUCCAUAGACUACAACUGACUUCAAAUGACCAUGCAACUGUGUCAAUACCAACUUACCAAAAACAAUACACAAUAAGGACUACAGGAUACUUCAAACUCCAAAAACUUUAACCUACCAAACAUGUUGCAUCUGCUAACUCCAACAACAACUACACAUACAAGUACAUUAACCAGGAAAAUCAAAUUAGGAAAAUAUAAAGUACAAUAUCAGAAUAGGAAAUUACUUUCAGAUCUUGUUGAGUCAUAGGAUCCAAUUGCCAAUUCCUUUUGAUGUAUCUGCCUUCAUCAACAAUGGAAUGCAAAAUGAGUAGCCAAAGAUGUACAGCACAUUCAUUAAGUAGAUCCUUAUUAACAAAACAAUCAAUAUAAAAAGACACAGAAAAAUUUAGCAAAUUGAUAAGAUGACAUAGAAAGAAGAAAAGUACAGUAUAACUGGUUCUUUGGAAACAAAGUCUCUGACUGCCAGUCCUAUAUAUCAUGUAAAAUUGCAAAACCAAUUGUUGUCCAUCCUGACAUACUGUGAUAUUGGCCGCAUAAUACUCACAUGUUUGCCACAAUAGACAACUUCACUGAAACAAGUUAGAAUAGCAUGCAGUAGGGAUACUCAUACAAAAGAAAC
Molecule: unclassified non-coding RNA, 800 nt
Filed under: Hevea brasiliensis (rubber tree)
Lineage: Eukaryota; Viridiplantae; Streptophyta; Magnoliopsida; Malpighiales; Euphorbiaceae
Source: RNAcentral